GUUUUAAAAGAUUUUCGUCGCUUCUUCUU
This 29-nucleotide small RNA is filed under the name Arabidopsis thaliana (thale cress). Its description in RNAcentral is "ATSL244210". The record is from RNAcentral. Lineage: Eukaryota; Viridiplantae; Streptophyta; Magnoliopsida; Brassicales; Brassicaceae.